CCGGGUGUGUCCGUGAGACAUCCUCGCUGCGUCCCUGCUCUGGAGUCUGGUGCUCUGGUCGUCCCCUGCCAGGCCAGUUAGUCCCAGCCGUGGUGACUGACUGACUGACUGACUGACUGCUGCUGGUGGCUGCUCAUUUCUGGAGUCUGUGCACCAAAAGAGGAAAAGAGUAACGUGAGAAGAGGAGCGUGAAGUGUUCUGUCAGUGCAGUGCAAUGGAGAGCUGCUGACUUAGCACUGAAGGAGAUCACAAACCUAAUGACAGGGGAAAUCUCAGUGAUUUGGGACUGUGGCUACUUUUGAGCUAAGAAGGAAGAGGAUCCUGAAUCUCAAAGCUGGCUCUCAGUGAGCAGAGCUGAUGAGCAACAGAAGGGGAGGAAAGUCGUAAACUCCACUGAAAUCAGCAGAAAUGAUCCUUGCAGCUCUCAGGAUCAGAGAUUUUCCUGAGAUUCCCACUGCUUCAUCAUCCUUUUGCAUCCGCACUGCAGCCUUCCCAGUCCUGCUGCUGAAACGCAUAGAGGAAGAGUUUCUCCACACGCUUCAUGUGCACUUGUCCUAGGAUAUUGUGUCUCCCAGCUCUUCUCUGGAAAGACAGCUGGAGAAGAGAGUCACGAUACACUCGGGCAGUUUUCCACGGGCCAUCAGGAAGUGCUCUGAGAGGCACUGAAGGAACACAGAACAGUUUGAAAAUCUCUGGGAUAUG
This is a long non-coding RNA of Rhea pennata, 702 nucleotides long. RefSeq lists it as uncharacterized. The record is from RefSeq and is a predicted model, not a curated record. The transcript has 6 exons. Lineage: Eukaryota; Metazoa; Chordata; Aves; Rheiformes; Rheidae.